CGAUUUUUAUCGGUGCAAUUUUAAGUAUAACCAAUCAGAUUUCAUGCUGUGAUCACGUGCUUGUAUUUAUUUGGCAACAUGGCGGCUACAGUUCAGGGAGCGUAUUUUUUUUCGUAAUCGUGUGCGGAGUAUACUGAUGUACAGUAUAUCGGUAUGUCAAACGAUUUUUAUCGGCCGACUAAAAUCGCAUCGUGUGCGCCAGGCUUUACUCCUUUAAAGUGCAUUAUUUACGAGUUAACUGAGCGGGCUCCUCGUGGCCACAGAGUAGAGACAUACAGAGACGUAACUGACAGUUGUAAACACUGCGGAAGCUUACGUUUCAUGUACCCAAUUUUUUUCAGGCGACCGGGCAAAAAAUGAUCAACUGCGCGUGCUCAGCAAGUUUAAAGUGAGUCGUCAUCAGGUCGUUAUCCAAUCAGAUGCAUGCAUCUAGUAACUUGCCGAGCAUGCGCACAAAAAAGUGGGUACACUAGUUACGUCUCUGUAUGUCUCUACUCUGUGUCGUGGCGCAGUGAUUUAGGCGCCCGCUUGGGAAGCGUGGCUCCCUGGUUCGAGUGCCGUAAGUGAGCAACAGUUUUAUUUUCAAGUUAAAUUUUUUUUUCAACUUCUUUCGAGUAUGAUUUUAAGCUUCGGUCUUAGGAUUAGGAGUUAGGGUGGUGUGUGGGGUGGUUUAAUUUUUUUAAGAGAAUAUUUUUAACACUUUAGGACUAAAUUUCCUGACUGUCGGGCACACUGCCUGCAGCCCGACUGCCGAGAUGGAAUUAUAAAGUUUGAUAGUUUAGAUACAUGUGAUGUCUGAUGGAUAUUUUGAAUAUAAACUAGAUGGAGCACACAAAAUAUGCGUAC
Molecule: non-coding RNA, 846 nt
Organism: Paramuricea clavata
Lineage: Eukaryota; Metazoa; Cnidaria; Anthozoa; Malacalcyonacea; Plexauridae
Source: the annotation of a GenBank genome assembly